Molecule: ribosomal RNA, 492 nt
Filed under: uncultured bacterium
Lineage: Bacteria
Description: partial 16S ribosomal RNA
Rfam family: Bacterial small subunit ribosomal RNA
Source: RNAcentral
AGUGAACGCUGGCGGUAGGCCUAACACAUGCAAGUCGAACGGCAGCACAGUAAGAUCUUGCUCUUACGGGUUGCGAGUGGCGUACGUGUGAGGAAUACAUCGGAAUCUACCUUUUCGUGUGGGUUAACGUAGGGAAACUUACGCUAAUACCGCAUACGACCUACGGUUGAAAUCAGUGGAUCUUCGUACCUUUCGCGUUUGAAUUAGCCGAUGUCGGAUUAGCUAGUUGGCGGGGUAAAGGCCCACCCAGGCGACGAUCCGUAGCUGGUCUGAGAGGAUGAGAAGCGACACGGGAAGGGAGACACGGAAAAGAGGACGAAGGGAGGGAGCAGUGGGGAAGAUGGGACAAUGGGGGAAAGCAUGAUACAGCAAUACGGAGUGGGAGAAGAAGGCGUGGGGGUUGGAAAGACCGGUUGUGGGGAAAGAAAAGCAGCAGGUUAAUACGAAGCUGGAGGGACGGUAACGAAAGAAGAAGCACCGGCUAACUACGUG